UGCAUGUCUUAGUACAAGCCCUAGUAAGGUGAAACCGCGAAUGGCUCAUUAAAUCAGUUAUGGUUCCUUAGAUCGUACCAACAUUUACUUGGAUAACUGUGGUAAUUCUAGAGCUAAUACAUGCAAACCAGAGUUCCGACCAGAGAUGGAAGGAAUGCUUUUAUUAGAUCAAAACCAAUCGGUGGCUCGUCCGCCGUUUAUUUUGGUGACUCUGAAUAACUUUGUGCUGAUCGCAUGGUCUCGUACCGGCGACGAAUCUUUCAAAUGUCUGCCUUAUCAACUGUCGAUGGUAGGCUCUGUGCCUACCAUGGUUGUAACGGGUAACGGGGAAUCAGGGUUCGAUUCCGGAGAGGGAGCCUGAGAAACGGCUACCACAUCCAAGGAAGGCAGCAGGCGCGCAAAUUACCCACUCCCAGCACGGGGAGGUAGUGACGAAAAAUAACGAUACGGGACUCAUCCGAGGCCCCGUAAUCGGAAUGAGUACACUUUAAAUCCUUUAACGAGGAUCAAUUGGAGGGCAAGUCUGGUGCCAGCAGCCGCGGUAAUUCCAGCUCCAAUAGCGUAUAUUAAAGUUGUUGCGGUUAAAAAGCUCGUAGUUGAAUCUGUGUGUUACGCUGUCGGUUCACCGCUCGCGGUGUUUAACUGAUACGCUCGUGACACGUCCUACCGGUGGACUUAGCUGUUCGGCCCUUGUGGUACGAGGCGGUCCUACUUUAAUCCCAUCGCGGUGCUCUUUACCGAGUGUCGAGGUGGGCCGGUACGUUUACUUUGAACAAAUUAGAGUGCUUAAAGCAGGCAAUUUUCGUCUGAAUACUGUGUGCAUGGAAUAAUGGAAUAGGACCUCGGUUCUAUUUUGUUGGUUUUCGGAACUCCGAGGUAAUGAUUAAUAGGGACAGAUGGGGGCAUUCGUAUUGCGACGUUAGAGGUGAAAUUCUUGGAUCGUCGCAAGACGGACAGAAGCGAAAGCAUUUGCCAAAAAUGUUUUCAUUAAUCAAGAACGAAAGUUAGAGGUUCGAAGGCGAUCAGAUACCGCCCUAGUUCUAACCAUAAACGAUGCCAGCUAGCGAUCCGCCGAAGUUCCUCCGAUGACUCGGCGGGCAGCUUCCGGGAAACCAAAGCUUUUGGGUUCCGGGGGAAGUAUGGUUGCAAAGCUGAAACUUAAAGGAAUUGACGGAAGGGCACCACCAGGAGUGGAGCCUGCGGCUUAAUUUGACUCAACACGGGAAACCUCACCAGGCCCGGACACCGGAAGGAUUGACAGAUUGAUAGCUCUUUCUUGAUUCGGUGGGUGGUGGUGCAUGGCCG
This 1305-nucleotide ribosomal RNA is filed under the name Acanthoscelio americanus. Its description in RNAcentral is "SSU rRNA". It matches the Rfam family "Eukaryotic small subunit ribosomal RNA", at positions 52 to 1290 of the family's 1831-position model. Lineage: Eukaryota; Metazoa; Arthropoda; Insecta; Hymenoptera; Scelionidae. The record is from RNAcentral.